GGCCAACUAAACUCUGCGUUGGAACUAAGAAUGCAAUUUCAGCAUUUCACCAAGGAUCUCAAAUGAAAUGAGAAAAUAAAUUUUAAUCUCUUAAUUCCCAUAAAAUUAGGACUAACAUUGCAGAAUGAGGACUGUUCUGGAUCCUUCCUAACUCUGGCAUAUGUUAGACACUACACUUAAGGGCGUACUUAACCGCAGAGAGCAGCAGUUACAGAACUGCAGUGCAGAAGUGCAGAGAGCAGCAGUUAGAAGGACAAUAAAUUACAACCAAUGUUUAAGGAUGUUGCUUUUUAGAGCAGUCAAAAUAACUGCUGUGGAAGAGACAGAACAUAUAUGAAUAUUUAUGAACUCCCUACCUUUCCCAGUCUUGAAUGUGACUAAUUCUGAUCAAUGAAGUGCAUGUGAAAAUUUGGGCCCUCGCUUCUAGGUCCAGGCUCAAUGUGCUCCGUGUCUUCCCCAGGCUCCCUCUCUACCGCCCCCCUCCAGUGACGUGUUGGGAAGAAAAUAAUUUCAAGUUGGUGAGAGAAGCAGAGGCCCAAAGGAAUAUUGCAAAUACCCAAGGUCACCCUGUCAGGAGUGGCAGAAUAGGGCUGGAACAAGGACUCUUUUCUCUGGACAGCUUGCACCUACAAUCCUUUCCAUCUUGCACCUACAAUCCACUCGAACACUGCAGCAUGGAGGCAGACUCCUUGCCAACGGGUAUUGUCGAGAGCUUCUUCCUACCAUCAUUUGUGAGUUUCAUCAGCUCCCAACCCUUUGUGUCUCAGCUUCUAAACUUUCUUUCUUUGACCAGAACUCAGCCAUAGUAGAACUGGAUUUAUGGAUGGAAUUAGAGAUAUGUCUUAUCUGAUGUGACAACUCCAAAGAAUCGGUAGUGCUUUAGAGACAUCAGAAGGCUCUACAGAACUCAACAAGAGUACCAUGUAAAAUUCAUGAUGUCUGGAUGUGUGAGGGAUAGGGAGGCAUUGCUAUUUUUGACUUUGAUCUAUCCUUUAGGCCCAGAAAAUCUUAUAUUUGUAGACAGAGGGGAUCCAGGCACUGGAGAGUUG
This 1049-nucleotide long non-coding RNA is filed under the name Homo sapiens (human). RNAcentral describes it as "HSALNT0062629". Lineage: Eukaryota; Metazoa; Chordata; Mammalia; Primates; Hominidae. The record is from RNAcentral.